This is a non-coding RNA of Pelobates cultripes (western spadefoot toad), 512 nucleotides long. Lineage: Eukaryota; Metazoa; Chordata; Amphibia; Anura; Pelobatidae. The record is from the annotation of a GenBank genome assembly.
GCAGGAACCGUCGAAUUCCCCCCAGACUGAUAUACGUGGAUUUUUAAUAGAUCCCCAGCCGAACAGAGAUGCCGUGGGAUGUGAUAAAAACUCUACCGUGAGGAUAACAAACUUGAAUCCACCAGCAGUCACAGGCUGGCAAAGCAUCCUGGGAGCUAAGGUUCUGGAGGCUUCCUGCUAAGCAGCCUGGGAGUUGAAGUUCUGGGGGGUACCUGCUGAGUCUGUAACAGGAAGCUGUGGCUAUAAGUGUCUCAGUCCUGGCCGCCACAUGUUGCUAUGGAGCAGAGAUAAUGUGGAGAUAUGUCAGUGAAACGGGAGAGUUUGGGCAUAUCAUUACCUCGACUCGGAUUACUGCAGUCUAACGCACUCUCUUCGCUUUGUAAUUUUACAUAAUGUAUGGGAGAGGUCAGGGGGUCAGCGAGACGAGCAGAUUUCCUCCCUAUUCAAAACCAGUGCAUUUCCACAGCAAGAACUCUACAUAUUAUUAAUGUAUACCAACCCUCUCUAUUACU